This 21-nucleotide non-coding RNA is filed under the name Caenorhabditis elegans. Lineage: Eukaryota; Metazoa; Nematoda; Chromadorea; Rhabditida; Rhabditidae. The record is from RNAcentral.
UUUGUCUUUAAUGUUAGAGUA